Molecule: unclassified non-coding RNA, 257 nt
Filed under: [Borrelia] lusitaniae
Lineage: Bacteria; Pseudomonadati; Spirochaetota; Spirochaetia; Spirochaetales; Borreliaceae
Description: Borreliella lusitaniae partial 5S-23S ribosomal RNA intergenic spacer
Source: RNAcentral
CUGCGAGUUCGCGGGAGAGUAGGUUAUUGCCAGGGUUUUUUAUUUUAUACUUUAAAUCUUGAAUUUAUUUUUUAUGUUUUUUAAAUGUUCAUUUUUUUGAAUGUUUGAUUUAAAAAAAAUAUAAAAAAUAAAAUAGAUAUUGACAUGGAUUAAACAAAGAUAUAUAUUAUUCUAUGUUGCAUAAACAAAUUGGCAAAGUAGAGAUGGAAGAUAAAAAUAUGGUCAAAGUAAUAAGAGUCUAUGGUGAAUGCCUAGGA